RNAcentral lists this small nuclear RNA (346 nucleotides) under Peromyscus maniculatus bairdii (prairie deer mouse). RNAcentral describes it as "7SK RNA (ENSPEMG00000003912.2)". It matches the Rfam family "7SK RNA", at positions 6 to 284 of the family's 331-position model. Rfam says of the family: 7SK was discovered as an abundant small nuclear RNA in the mid-70s but a possible function has only recently been suggested. Two independent studies have found that 7SK RNA binds the CDK9/cyclin T complex (known as elongation factor P-TEFb). P-TEFb activates transcription by phosphorylating the C-terminal domain of RNA polymerase II. The record is from RNAcentral. Lineage: Eukaryota; Metazoa; Chordata; Mammalia; Rodentia; Cricetidae.
AGCAGGGCGAUCUGGCUGCGACAUCUGUCACCCCAUUGGUCGCCAGGGUUGAUUCGGCUGAUCUGGCUGGCUAGGCGGGUGUCCCCUUCCUCCCUCACCGCUCCGCUCCACGUGAGUCCCUCUGGAAGCUGCACGCUCGGUCGGUCGAAGAGGACGACCUUCCCCGAAUAGAGGAGGACUGGUCUUUGGUCAAGGGUAUACGAGUAGCUGCGCUCCCCUGCUAGAACCUCCAAACAAGCUCUCUCCUGCUUCCUAAGCAACAAAAUUAUGGCCCUCAAGGUUCCACUUGAGUCCAGGGACAAUGGCAAGACUGUUGUAAAGAGCGUGGCAGGCAUGGACGGGGCUC